GCGGGUGUAACUCAAUUGGUAGAGUGUCGGCUUUCCAAGCCGUUCGUUGCAAGUUCAAAUCUUGUCGCCCGCUCCA
RNAcentral lists this transfer RNA (76 nucleotides) under Planctomycetota bacterium. RNAcentral's name for it is "Planctomycetes bacterium (activated sludge metagenome) tRNA-Gly". It matches the Rfam family "tRNA". From Rfam's summary of the family: Transfer RNA (tRNA) molecules are approximately 80 nucleotides in length. Their secondary structure includes four short double-helical elements and three loops (D, anti-codon, and T loops). Further hydrogen bonds mediate the characteristic L-shaped molecular structure. tRNAs have two regions of fundamental functional importance: the anti-codon, which is responsible for specific mRNA codon recognition, and the 3' end, to which the tRNAs corresponding amino acid is attached (by aminoacyl-tRNA synthetases). tRNAs cope with the degeneracy of the genetic code in two manners: having more than one tRNA (with a specific anti-codon) for a particular amino acid; and 'wobble' base-pairing, i.e. permitting non-standard base-pairing at the 3rd anti-codon position. The record is from RNAcentral. Lineage: Bacteria; Pseudomonadati; Planctomycetota.